AAAGUAUUACUGCAGGGUGUAAGUACCACACUUGGAGAUCAAAGAUUGUUCCACUAGAAUAGUCAAAUGUAAAUGUCGAUUGAUUCCAAGGUAGAAACUUGAACCUAGUAGAAACUCCCCAGGAUUGUCAGAUCACAGAUGUUCGUAGAAUUGCUUAUAGUUGUAACAUUUGAUCUGAAAUGGGAAAAUGAACCUCAUAGAAGCUCCCGUAAGACUGUCUGAUCUUCAUUAUUGAGCGUGAUUGUAAUUUCAGAUGAAUGACAUCGAAGUUCGAGAUGGCUGGCAAUAUCAACUGAGCACGUAUUGCCCCCUUCACUUCAUGAAAAAGCUAUGGAAUAAUUACUAUUCUUGUGCAUAUCGGUAUCCACUGCGAUAGACCGUCACUUUGAACAAAUAUCUGGAAACUCCAUGAUCCGCACCAUGCCAUUUUUUAGGCUGCAGUUGUCUAUCCAUCUCUCUUACUUUAUUUGAUCGACAAUGCACGAUUGCUACCAUAUAAAUGAUUUCAGGUUCGUAGAACCUCACUCCCCUGUAUCACCGUACAAUGACUGGUAAAGAAUGGUUUUUAAGUUCAAAAUUUCGGUA
Molecule: long non-coding RNA, 585 nt
Organism: Pyrus x bretschneideri (Chinese white pear)
Lineage: Eukaryota; Viridiplantae; Streptophyta; Magnoliopsida; Rosales; Rosaceae
Exons: 2
Source: RefSeq, a predicted model, not a curated record